Molecule: non-coding RNA, 144 nt
Filed under: uncultured eukaryote
Lineage: Eukaryota
Source: RNAcentral
CUGCUUACAAGCAUGACCAAAAAAGAAGAAUAACAAGUUCCUGACUACAAAAAAAAACCUUUGACACAUAGUUCGGAAAGCUCACACGAAUCUAUAAAUAGUUCCGUGUUUUUUUUAUCUUCUUCUUCUUCUUCUUCUCGUAAU